This is a long non-coding RNA of Cyprinus carpio (common carp), 1421 nucleotides long. RefSeq lists it as uncharacterized. NCBI's taxonomy places the organism in Eukaryota, Metazoa, Chordata, Actinopteri, Cypriniformes, Cyprinidae. The record is from RefSeq and is a predicted model, not a curated record.
GCUUCUGUCCAAAAUGCGGCCUAAAGAGGCACAAGGUGGGUGAAUGAAUAUUUUCUCGUUCCGCGUAUAUAACCGAUCAUCACAAUCACAGGUGAUGUUUUAAUAUACUGUAAGUGCGUCAUCAGGCCUUCAUGUGUUUAAGUCAAGACAACAGGUGAAGAGAAAUUCUGCCAAAAAUAACGACAUACAAAUGAUUGGCCAUAAUGAAGCAGUGGAGGAUGGAGUUCUUUACGCACAGCGAUUCCAGAUGUGCCAAAUGUCCUCUUCUGAUCACCAGUAAAUCCACUCCUUCCUCUGCUGAUCAUAAGCCCUCUCAGCAGCUGGUGUCAGAGUGAAAUUGGACGAAUUUCGAGAUUUUCAGUCUUGUUAUUCAUCCCCUUAUCAAUAUGUCAUCUGGAGAUUGGACACAUCAGAAUGACUUGAGGGGGAGAAAUCAUCUACUGCCAUGUUCGCUUCCCAUCAAACUGUGAGACUGGCACAAAUAGAGGUCUGUACAGACUGUUCAGGGCACAAGGAGUCAUUGUUGAGUUCUGCAGAGGUUUUAAUGAAGACUAGUCCCUUUGUGAUUAUUUAUGCCAAUGCAGUUGAGAUCCGCACAAAGAUUCUGAUGCGAUGGAGGAUAAGUAAGGAUUUUGUAUAUAACUGUGAGCACUGAAUGCAUUUAGAUGGAAUUAGUUUUAAUACUGUACAGUAAAAAUCAAUAGCAGCUCUGUUGCUAAAUGGGAAAACUGUGAGUUUGUGGUUUGUGGGAAAAUAUGAGAAAAGAGAACAGAUGUGUUUGAGAAUAUCUAGUUUACUUUCUGUUAAGUACCUUAAAAAUCAUAAUCAUCCUAAUUAUUAAAUCUCAAAUGCCAUAAAUCUCAAACUUCACAAACUUUUCCAACUCCAGUGAAUAGUUCUUUAAAAGUAGAGCUGGGUAUUGAUACACAUUUUCUGAUUCGUAGCAUGAUUUUUGAUGAUUUAUGCUUUCCUUGCUCUCAGUUAGAGUUUGAUUCAGUUUAAUUGGAUUCCAAUUAAUUUUGUGUAUGUUUCAUUUACAGUGUCUAUUUUGCUUACAUAUGGUAAGGUGAUCCCUCUCUGCUAUGACUAUAAAUGAUAUAAAGAACCUUCUAAUUUGGUACAUUAUGAAAUUAACAACAGGGCCCAAACUCUGCAGUUCAUAUUCUGUUUAUUUAAAUAAACACCUAGAAAGUAACGUUCACCUCAGUUAUGAGCUCCCAUGCAACAGUAUAGAAAGGCUCUGAAUAAAAAUCAGGCAGCUUAUGAACAAAGAAUCAUUUGGUCAACAACCAGAAUCAGGUUACACUGAAUGCACCGUAUAUUUUUUGAUUCCCUGAGAAGAGAAAUAUGAUAAUGAAUUAGACUUUUGCAGUAGCAAUGCCACUGAGAAGCAAGAUGCUGAAGGAUCUUGGGAUUUUAAG